Sipha flava (yellow sugarcane aphid) is the source of this 778-nucleotide long non-coding RNA. RefSeq lists it as uncharacterized. The transcript is spliced from 4 exons. NCBI's taxonomy places the organism in Eukaryota, Metazoa, Arthropoda, Insecta, Hemiptera, Aphididae. The record is from RefSeq and is a predicted model, not a curated record.
ACGCGAACGACUUGUAUAAGUGAAAUUAUGCUUAGUAUAUUAAAUUAAAAUUUAACUUAAACUGUUAACCAAUUGGGAAUAAGUUCAUCAAAACGAAUCAUAAAUGAAAAUGAACAAACCACUUUUGAAUAUUAUCUAUACAUGGACUGAGAGAAUCAAAAAACGAAAUAAAAUAAUGAUGCAGGAGUGAUAUUGAUUGAUAUUCAUUGAUAUUAAUUGUAUGUUGUUGGUAUAUUUUACAAUUUUCAAAAGAUUCAUUUUAUAGUGUCAAGCAUAUAUUUUAUGAUUAAGCUUAACAUAAACGUAACUCGCAAAGUAAAUGAUACAAGUUAAUUGAAAUAAAUUAUAUGAGUUUUCAGAAGAAUGAGAAUCUAUAUAAUUUAACCCGAUAAUAUGCAUUUCAUAAAAAAGACUAUUAUGUGAUGUAUUGAAUAAUAACAACUUAAACUGAAGACAAACUAAACCCUGAUGUUGUAAAAUACUUAACUAAAACCUGAGCACUGUUUCAUUUUAAAGCUAUUGUUCAAUGUUAAGAAUUAACUAAAUCAUACAUAAAAGUGAUAAGGACAAUCAUUAAAGUAAUCCUCAAUCCUAACCUGCACAGCGAUCACUACACUAACAACAAAACAACAGUAUCGAUGGACAGAACUGAUUUGAAAUUUAAUACUAGUAAUAUGUAGGUAUAGUAAUAUAGUCAUCGAACAAAAUUAAAUUUAUAAAAUGUUAAGAAACUCAAUUCGUUAAAUUACUUUUCUUGAAAUAAAUUGUUUUGAUGGUG